Salvia splendens (bonfire salvia) is the source of this 407-nucleotide long non-coding RNA. RefSeq lists it as uncharacterized. The record is from RefSeq and is a predicted model, not a curated record. The transcript is spliced from 2 exons. NCBI's taxonomy places the organism in Eukaryota, Viridiplantae, Streptophyta, Magnoliopsida, Lamiales, Lamiaceae.
CAUGUCUUGAGGUUGAGCACAAUUAAUCGCGGAUACAAAUAGCAAAUCACGGCGGAGGAGGUGGUCCUAACCUCGGCCCGUGAGUACCUUGGCGACUUGUGGCGGCGGCGGUGGGGCCGGAGGCACAUCCCGCUUCCAUCGGCUACCUCUGGCAACUUGUGGCGGCGGCGGCGGCUGGCCUAGGCCUCCUCGUUUGAGAUCAGCAAAAUGUGAAUGCGGAAGCCCCUUAGAGAGAGAAGAGAAGGGCUUUUCUUCCACACGUUGUGAGAAAAUGGCUUCUUGCAUGAACAAGAUGAAAAGGAUUAAGAGAUAGGUUGCUUUCAUUUGAUUUUUGGGAGAUGAUAUACAUAUGUUGGAUGUGUAGAAUAUGAAAAUGUUGAAGAGAUAAGAACUAUUAUUGCCUUGUA